This 286-nucleotide long non-coding RNA is filed under the name Monodelphis domestica (gray short-tailed opossum). RNAcentral's name for it is "lncRNA (ENSMODG00000046272.1)". Lineage: Eukaryota; Metazoa; Chordata; Mammalia; Didelphimorphia; Didelphidae. The record is from RNAcentral.
GAAGAAGUUUGGCAUAGGAUCAGGUUGUCAGGUCAACAGGCAUUUGUUAAGCUCCUUCAAUGUGUUAAGUGCUGGGAAUGAACAGAAAAGAAGAGGAGAAGUGAAGAGAGGGGAAGGGAAGGGGAAGGAGAAAAGGUACAGGAAAGGAGGAGAGGGAUGGAGAGAGGAGGGGAGGGGAGAGGAGAGAAGAGAAGAAAAGGACUUCUGAGAUCAUGAGUUUUGUUGUUGGCAUUUUUCAUCUACCCACAUCUAAUGAGUCAAAUGAAUAAAAUACAGAAAGACUCCA